ACCCUGGAGGACUAGUGGUUAAGCCAUGGCACGCUCACCGCCAUGGCCCGGGUUCGAUUUCUGCCCAGGGAA
Molecule: non-coding RNA, 72 nt
Organism: Pangasius djambal
Lineage: Eukaryota; Metazoa; Chordata; Actinopteri; Siluriformes; Pangasiidae
Source: the annotation of a GenBank genome assembly